UUCUAACGACUGGAUCUUCUUUGAUUUUGCUGUAUGGGGAUUUUAGCUUCAUCACUCGGACAAAUUUGAUGGUGUACCAUAUGGCUUGUUCCUAGGACCUAAGGAAUUGGAAGAAGUAGGAGGGCUUGAAGAGUUGGAAAAGGAAGUCAACCGAAGAAUUAAAAUUUCUAAGGAAUUAUUAUGAUCAAAAGAUACUUCUAAUAAUAAAAUGCACUUGUAUUUAGGCUCUAGAUCAUUAAUGGGAAAAAGAUAGAAAUAUAUAUACAUAUAUGAAAAUAAUAUAAUGAAACAAGCUUUCUAUGGAAAUUGGAAAGUUCCUAGUCUUCUUUU
Long non-coding RNA from Solanum tuberosum (potato), 330 nucleotides. RefSeq lists it as uncharacterized. The transcript has 2 exons. The record is from RefSeq and is a predicted model, not a curated record. Lineage: Eukaryota; Viridiplantae; Streptophyta; Magnoliopsida; Solanales; Solanaceae.